Molecule: transfer RNA, 71 nt
Filed under: Pleomorphochaeta sp.
Lineage: Bacteria; Pseudomonadati; Spirochaetota; Spirochaetia; Spirochaetales; Sphaerochaetaceae
Also listed under: 3 other names
Description: tRNA-Gly
Rfam family: tRNA
About the family: Transfer RNA (tRNA) molecules are approximately 80 nucleotides in length. Their secondary structure includes four short double-helical elements and three loops (D, anti-codon, and T loops). Further hydrogen bonds mediate the characteristic L-shaped molecular structure. tRNAs have two regions of fundamental functional importance: the anti-codon, which is responsible for specific mRNA codon recognition, and the 3' end, to which the tRNAs corresponding amino acid is attached (by aminoacyl-tRNA synthetases). tRNAs cope with the degeneracy of the genetic code in two manners: having more than one tRNA (with a specific anti-codon) for a particular amino acid; and 'wobble' base-pairing, i.e. permitting non-standard base-pairing at the 3rd anti-codon position.
Source: RNAcentral
GCGCCAUUCGUAUAAUGGUAUUACUCCAGCCUUCCAAGCUGAUAACGUGGGUUCGAUUCCCAUAUGGCGCU